ACUGUAUGAUGACCAGUCAUCCCAGUUUUCCCAGAACCAGACUGUUUAUUCAUCCAUUUACCUGCUGAAGGGCAUCUUGAUUGUUUCUAUGUUUUAGCAAUUAUGAAUAAAGCUUCUAUAGACACAAUGUGCAGGUUUCUGUGUGGACGUGUUUCCACCUCCUUUGAUAACGACCAAGGAAUUCAGUUGCUGGAUUGUAUGCCCCUAGAAAGUUAAUCCUACUUUGAAGACCUCUAAUUUCCCAGUCCUCAGCCAUAGCUGAUUGGACCAGGAAUAGGUGUCUGAAUGAAUAAACCACUGACUCUCAGAAAUUUGAACUGAAAGAGACAGAGCUACUUGAGCUGAAGAGUCAUAUGGAGGCUCCAUGGAAGUAGUGGUUUUCAGCAAAGCAUAAGAUAAUCAAACAUCAGAUACCCUUGGAGGAGAGAAUGACAAAUGGAUAGAUGUACAGAGUGAAAUGAAGUCAUAAGAAAGAGAGAUGCAGAGAUGGCAUUAUGUGAAGACAUUAACCUUGGUUACCAAAUUAAAUAUCCAGGCCCUGGACAGCCAACUACAUUUGCCUCAUCUUUUUUUUUUUUUUCAUUGACAAAUAAAAAAUAUGUUAGGCCGGGUGCGGUGGCUCACACCUGUAAUCCCAGCACUUUGGGAAGCCAAGGAGGGUGGAUCGCCUGAGGUAAGGAGUUGUAGACCAGCCUGAUCAACAUGGAGAAAACCCGUCUCUACUAAAAAUACGAAAUUAGCCAGACGUGCUGGCGUAUGACUGUAAUCCCAGCUACUUGGGAAGCUG
Molecule: long non-coding RNA, 787 nt
Filed under: Homo sapiens (human)
Lineage: Eukaryota; Metazoa; Chordata; Mammalia; Primates; Hominidae
Description: HSALNT0036730
Source: RNAcentral